CAUGGAGAAAGCUGACCUGGCUGGUAAAGCUGGUAAAGAGAAGCCAGCUUGUUUACAUGCUCAUUCUAGG
This is a non-coding RNA of Canis lupus familiaris (dog), 70 nucleotides long. The record is from Rfam. Lineage: Eukaryota; Metazoa; Chordata; Mammalia; Carnivora; Canidae.